GAUGAACGCUAGCGGCAGGCUUAAUACAUGCAAGUCGAGGGGCAGCAGUUUUGUAGCAAUACAGAAGCUGGCGACCGGCAAACGGGUGCGGAACACGUACGCAACCUUCCUCUAACUGGAAGAUAGCCCACCGAAAGGUGGAUUAAUAUUCCAUAGUAUAUUGAAAAGGCAUCUUUUUGAUAUUAAAGCUCCGGCGGUUAGAGAUGGGCGUGCGUCUGAUUAGGUAGUUGGCGGGGUAACGGCCCACCAAGCCUACGAUCAGUAGCUGAUGUGAGAGCAUGAUCAGCCACACGGGCACUGAGACACGGGCCCGACUCCUACGGGAGGCAGCAGUAAGGAAUAUUGGUCAAUGGACGCAAGUCUGAACCAGCCAUGCCGCGUGGAGGAUGAAGGCCCUCUGGGUUGUAAACUUCUUUUCUUUGGGACGAAACCCCUGUUUCUACGGGGACUGACGGUACCAGAGGAAUAAGCACCGGCUAACUCCGUGCCAGCAGCCGCGGUAAUACGGAGGGUGCAAGCGUUAUCCGGAUUCACUGGGUUUAAAGGGAGCGUAGGUGGGCUU
This 562-nucleotide ribosomal RNA is filed under the name uncultured bacterium. RNAcentral's name for it is "bacterial SSU rRNA". It matches the Rfam family "Bacterial small subunit ribosomal RNA", at positions 28 to 582 of the family's 1533-position model. The record is from RNAcentral.